GCAUCGAUGGCUCAGUGGUAGAAUGCUCGCCUGCCACGCGGGCGGCCCCGGGUUCGAUUCCCGGCCGAUGCA
Molecule: non-coding RNA, 72 nt
Organism: Cordylochernes scorpioides
Lineage: Eukaryota; Metazoa; Arthropoda; Arachnida; Pseudoscorpiones; Chernetidae
Source: the annotation of a GenBank genome assembly